GCUGGGCGUGGUGGUGCACGCCUGUAGUCCCAGCUACUUGGGAGGCUGAGGCAGGAGACUCGCUUGAACCCGGGAGGCGGAGGUUGCAGUGAGCUGAGAUCACGCCACUGCACUCCAGCCUGAGUGACAGAGAGAGACUCUGUCUCAA
This 148-nucleotide non-coding RNA is filed under the name Pan troglodytes (chimpanzee). The record is from Rfam by way of RNAcentral. Lineage: Eukaryota; Metazoa; Chordata; Mammalia; Primates; Hominidae.